GUCGAACGGAAGUACCUUCGGGUACUUUAGUGGCGAACGGGUGAGUAAUACAUAGGUAACCUACCCUUAAGACGAGGAUAGCCAUUGGAAACGAUGGAUAAAACUGGAUAGGAUAUAGAGGAAGAAUCUUUUAUAUUUAAAAGAGAGAUCUGCUUAAGGAGGGGCCUGUGGCGCAUUAGCUAGUUGGUGGGGUAAGGGCCUACCAAGGCGAUGAUGCGUAGCCGGACUGAGAGGUUGAACGGCCACAAUGGAACUGAGAACGGUCCAUACUCCUACGGGAGGCAGCAGUAGGGAAUUUUCGGCAAUGGGGGGAACCCUGACCGAGCAACGCCGCGUGAACGAAGAAGUUAUUCGUAAUGUAAAGUUCUUUUAUCAGGGAAGAAAGAGGAAUUUGACGGUACCUGAGGAAUAAGCUCCGGCUAACUACGUGCCAGCAGCCGCGGUAAUACGUAGGGAGCGAGCGUUAUCCGGAAUUAUUGGGCGUAAAGGGCGCGUAGAUGGCAUAGUAAGUCUUUUGUAAAAAUGCUGGGCUCAACCCAGUAGGGCAAAAGAUACUGCAAAGCUAGAGUAUGACAGAGGCAAGUGGAACUACAUGUGUAGCGGUAAAAUGCGUAAAUAUAUGUAAGAACACCAGUGGCGAAGGCGGCUUGCUGGGUCGAUACUGACAUUGAGGCACGAAAGCGUGGGGAGCAAACAGGAUUAGAUACCCUGGUAGUCCACGCCCUAAACGAUGAGUACUAAGUGUUGGUGAGAAUCAGUGCUGAAGUUAACGCAUUAAGUACUCCGCCUGAGUAGUACGUACGCAAGUAU
RNAcentral lists this ribosomal RNA (810 nucleotides) under uncultured bacterium. RNAcentral's name for it is "bacterial SSU rRNA". It matches the Rfam family "Bacterial small subunit ribosomal RNA", at positions 61 to 895 of the family's 1533-position model. The record is from RNAcentral.